Molecule: long non-coding RNA, 631 nt
Filed under: Pan troglodytes (chimpanzee)
Lineage: Eukaryota; Metazoa; Chordata; Mammalia; Primates; Hominidae
Description: long non-coding RNA NONPTRT005385
Source: RNAcentral
UGCCCUGCUUCUAAGCUAUCAAGCCAAACCACAUCUUUCCAAGCAACAGGCUGUCAGAUCUAUUUCUCACUGUAAGAAAUCCAAUGUGGCUCAUAAUCAAAGGUACGGACGUGAACUGUCUGUGGGUGACUUGCCUGGAUGCCGGCUAUAGCUGCAGCCCCCAAAGUCGAAGCUACCAGAACAGAUUGGAUGAGGAUGGCCCAAAGAUUAUGGAGUUGCUGGCCCCAAAGCAAGUCAGACACUAUGGGAAGUUUGCAUGAAUCAUGCCCUUGGAUAGACAACCUAAAUCAUACCUCAUCGAGCAUGGAUCCUGGUCAGCAUACCAAGUCAAGGCAAGUAAAGACUGAAGAAAUAUCACCUGGUCUGCAGCUCCCCCCAAAACGAAGUCUGCUACUGAUGGCAGAAGCAUAGAUAGACCAAGGGUAUCACUAUGUAAUGAUGGAAGAAGGAAAAACCCCAUGCAUUCACUCAUGUCUUGAAUCACCUAGAGAAGAGAGGGAAUCUGCCAAAGUGGACACAAUAGAAAUUCAGUUCUAAAUUUGGAGGAAAUGAGACCCACUCUCAGAUAAGAUGAAAAGUAAAAGCCCUAGGAUCCAAUGGGGUAUUAAACAAAUAUUUAAAAGUAGAGAGG